Molecule: unclassified non-coding RNA, 732 nt
Filed under: Melitaea cinxia (Glanville fritillary)
Lineage: Eukaryota; Metazoa; Arthropoda; Insecta; Lepidoptera; Nymphalidae
Description: misc RNA ENSMCXG00005012386.1
Source: RNAcentral
GAUGAGUCAAUAUUUUCUUAUGAAUAGAUUAUUUGUUGGGAGUUUAAUUCUAAAGUUAUAAACUAAAUAUCAGUGAGUUAGAACAUAAAAAAGUGAUUUAUAAUUUUUAGUUUUGUUUGUAUAAUAUUUUGAUACUUGGAAGGCAGAACUGUAGCUGGAAAUAAUAAUGCUAAGCGGAAGAUGAAUAAUUCAAACUAUUUCCUUUUUUUUGUGUAAAUAAAUAAUAAAUUCAGAAUGAUUAGCAAUAAAUAUUACAAUAAUGUAUGUGAAUAGUCUGCUUUAGAAUUUAAUUUAAGAAUUAUGAGAUAUGUUAGUUUCGAAAAAGGUUUUAUUCGAAAUAACUAAAAGCUACCGGUAAAAUCUAUCAAUAACUUAUGCGUGUGGCGAUUACCAGAGAUGAAACAAACCCUUACUGUCCUUAAUUGAUAUUUAAGCAUUACCUCAGUGUUAAUUUUUUGUGUGUAAAUAACUAAGAAUAUGAAUUUAUGUUUAUAAUGUAAGGUAAGGCUAAAUUUAUAUUUAAGGUUCACUAAGGUUCUAAGGUUUAAUUUCUGUUUCAAUAAUUUUUGUAUUUCAGAAUUCUAAAAUAAUUAAACUCCUAAUAGUGUAAAGAUACUCUGUGGUGUAAACAGGUGAUAAAUAUUGUAUAUUAUCAAGAUUAAUAAUUAUUAAAUUAUAUUUAUUGUUAUAAUAAUUGUAAAUAAUAAAUAUAAAACCUUUUUGAAACCACCA